UCAGGUCCGACGUAGUAAGCGGGAAACCGCCGAAAUCAGUACCUUUAUGGAAGGAUGACUCGUACUCUGCCUUUUGGCUAAAACACUCCUUUGAUGUAGUCGCUCGGACGCUGCUUGCAUGGCACGGUUUACGCGGACCGUGUUUCAUGGGCGGUACUACUAUGCAGUUACUUUUACGCGUGAAAUCCUGCAACACUGUACGAAGGGGACAAUUUUUAAUGACAAGCG
This is a non-coding RNA of Clostridiales bacterium 52_15, 228 nucleotides long. The record is from Rfam. Lineage: Bacteria; Bacillati; Bacillota; Clostridia; Eubacteriales.